CAGCCGGAUAAUCGCGCUUAAGAAAAAUUAAGUGAGGAAAGUCCGUGCAUUCAAGGACAGACCGCCGGAGAAACUCCGGACAGCGUGAGCUGGUGGAAAGUGCCACAGAAAUGAAACGCGCAAGCCGGUGUUCACGGGUCGGCUUGCUGAAGAGCAAGACGAGCAAGUGAACACAACGAAACCGCCGUUGUUCCUGGAGCUUUAGCGAAAGGAACGAAGCAAUCUCUGAUUGCCCAGGCGGAAAAAGCGAAAGCCGGUGUUCAUCCGGUGUCGGCACACGGUAGUGUGGCGAGCAGGGACGAACAUUACGCGACAGACUGCCGAUGGAUUUUAUAUCACAGGCGAUGGUGCAACGGUGAGUUAAGAGCUUCACCAGCAGUGCUGAGAAGCACUGGCUAGGUAAACCCCGGUCGAAUGCAAGAUUAACUCGAAGGUUAUAAAGGUGUCCGCCAACUUCGGAAAUAUCGCUUGAGAUUGCAGGUAACUGCAAUACCAGACAGAUGAUUAUCUUAAAACAGAACACGGCUUAUGAGCUGCUUUA
This 541-nucleotide RNase P RNA is filed under the name human gut metagenome. Its description in RNAcentral is "Bacterial RNase P class A". It matches the Rfam family "Bacterial RNase P class A". From Rfam's summary of the family: Ribonuclease P (RNase P) is a ubiquitous endoribonuclease, found in archaea, bacteria and eukarya as well as chloroplasts and mitochondria. Its best characterised activity is the generation of mature 5'-ends of tRNAs by cleaving the 5'-leader elements of precursor-tRNAs. Cellular RNase Ps are ribonucleoproteins. RNAcentral also lists the same sequence under 1 other name. The record is from RNAcentral.